AUUUGAUGCGGUUUACACACCUAGAAAUACACGGUUAUUGCAGGAAGCUACAGAGGUUGGAGCUACAGUGGUGAGUGGGGUUGAGAUGUUUGUCCGGCAGGCACUUGGGCAGUUUAAAUUGUUCACCAAUGGAUUAGCACCAGUAGAUUUUAUGCGGAGGAUUGUAUAUGAGCAAUUUUGAUUCAUUUAGAAGAAAAUCAGGAUGAUAUUUGACAACUCCAUAGAAGACGAGGUUUCUGAAAAAAUUCUUAUGAUUUACAUGGGAUAUAUGUAAAUAAAUUAUGAUUGUAA
RNAcentral lists this unclassified non-coding RNA (291 nucleotides) under Hevea brasiliensis (rubber tree). The record is from RNAcentral. Lineage: Eukaryota; Viridiplantae; Streptophyta; Magnoliopsida; Malpighiales; Euphorbiaceae.